RNAcentral lists this ribosomal RNA (207 nucleotides) under Corethron hystrix. RNAcentral describes it as "partial Bacterial large subunit ribosomal RNA". It matches the Rfam family "Bacterial large subunit ribosomal RNA", at positions 1273 to 1485 of the family's 2925-position model. Lineage: Eukaryota; Bacillariophyta; Corethrophyceae; Corethrales; Corethraceae. The record is from RNAcentral.
GUGGAGCGGUUAGAAGUGAGAAUGCCGGUGUGAGUAGCGAAAGAUAGGUGAGAAUCCUAUCCAUCGAAAGCCUAAGGUUUCCAGGGGAAGGCUCGUCCGCCCUGGGUUAGUCGGGACCUAAGGAGAGACCGAAAGGUGUAUCCGAUGGCCAACAGGUUGAUAUUCCUGUACUAGAGUAUAUAGUGAUGGAGGGACGCAGUAGGCUAA